RNAcentral lists this long non-coding RNA (2051 nucleotides) under Homo sapiens (human). RNAcentral's name for it is "non-protein coding lnc-ZFP37-1:3". The record is from RNAcentral. Lineage: Eukaryota; Metazoa; Chordata; Mammalia; Primates; Hominidae.
GAAUAGGUAUCCUUUAUAAUAUCAUGAUCAACAGGAAAGAGAUAAUAUCUUCUACUUAAUCCUGGAUACUAUAUCUGAAGUCAGAGCAUCCACUCCAAAGCAGAGAAUUUCUGAAAAACAAAAUAAUGUCAUCAUAUGAUGUUAGAAUUUUUUUUCAAAUGAUGGUUCCUAAUACUUCACAUUAGAAGAACUCGAAUUUGAUGACCAGUUUGAGAAACACCAGUAUAUCCAGAUUACAAGAAAAAGCGAGUCAAAAGGAUGAUCAUGAAUAUAACAACUUCGAGGAAACAUUUAACCAAAGACCAAAGCUUUUUAAACAACUGAGAGUUUUUAUAAGAAAAAGACCUCAUACAGUAGUCCCCACUUAUUCAUGGGGGAUACAUUUCAAGACCCACAGAGAAGGCCUGAAAUCACUGAUGUACCAAACCCUAACCAGGUUCUUAGGAUGAGCUACUAAAUGACAAAUGGGUGGGUAGUACAUAGAGUGUAGAUACACCAGACAAAGAAAUGAUUCACAGCCCAGGCAGGACAGAGCAGAUCACACAAGAUUUCAUCACAGUACUCAGAAAACCACACCAUUUAAAAGUUAUGAAUUGUUUAUUUCUGGAAUUUUCCAUAUAAUAUUUUUGACCACAGUUUCCCAUGGAUAACUGAAACCAUGGGAAGUGGAACUGUGGAUAAGGCAGGACUACUGUAACUAUGACAUCAAUGGUAGGAACCUGAAGCAUAAUUCUGCUGUAGUGGAUUUUUUCAAAAGAAACUCAUGAAUGAAAAAUAAUUUAUUAGAUAUAAGAAAGGAUGCAUUUGUAUCUCAAACUUUACUUAUUCUGGAAAUAAAUGAAAAGCCAACACCUAUUACAUACCGACAAAAAUGAAAAAAUAAAUAAAUGUAAAGCCAUAGUUCAGUACUGAUGGAAUCUGAGAAAAUUUAUAUGACCGCGAACCCAUAUCUCUGUACUGAAUGUGGGAAAGGCUACACUUGUCUUGCAUCCCUGACCCAGCAUCAGAAAACACAUAUUGGAGAAAAACCUUAUGAAUGUAAAAUAUGUGGUAAGUCCUUUACCCGGAACAGUAAUCUUGUUCAACAUCAAAGAAUACAUACUGGAGAGAAACCUUAUGAAUGUAAUGAAUGUGGGAAAGCUUUUAGUCAGAGCACUAAUCUUAUUCAGCAUCAAAGAGUCCAUACUGGGGAGAAACCUUAUGAGUGUAAUGAAUGUGAAAAAACCUUUAGUCAUAGGUCAUCCCUUAGAAAUCAUGAGAGAAUCCAUACUGGAGAAAAACCCUAUCCUUGUAAUGAAUGUGGGAAAGCUUUCAGCCAUAUCUCUGCCCUUACUCAACAUCAUAGAAUUCAUACUGGAAAGAAACCAUAUGAAUGUACUGAAUGUGGAAAAACCUUCAGCCGCAGCACACACCUAAUUGAACAUCAGGGAAUUCAUUCUGAGGAAAAAUCCUACCAGUGUAAGCAAUGUCGGAAAGUUUUUUGCCACAGUACAUCACUAAUCCGACAUCAGAGAACCCACACAGGAGAGAAACCAUAUGAAUGUAAUGAAUGUGGGAAAGCUUUCAGCCAUACCCCAGCCUUCAUUCAACAUCAAAGAAUUCAUACUGGAGAAAAACCCUAUGAGUGUAAUGCAUGUGGAAAGGCCUUCAAUCGGAGUGCACAUCUUACUGAACACCAGAGAACUCAUACUGGAGAGAAGCCCUAUGUUUGUAAAGAAUGUGGAAAAACCUUCAGUCGAAGUACACACCUUACUGAACAUCUAAAAAUUCAUUCUUGUGUGAAACCCUAUCAAUGUAAUGAAUGUCAGAAACUGUUUUGCUAUAGAACAUCACUAAUUCGACAUCAGAGGACGCAUACAGGAGAGAAACCCUACCAGUGUAAUGAAUGUGGGAAAUCCUUCAGCUUAAGCUCAGCUCUAACUAAACAUAAGCGAAUACAUACAAGGGAGAGACCCUAUCAAUGUACUAAGUGUGGUGAUGUCUUUUGUCAUAGUACAUCCUUAAUUCGACAUCAGAAAACUCAUUUCAGAAAGGAAACCUUAGCAGAGUAA